Molecule: ribosomal RNA, 250 nt
Filed under: uncultured bacterium
Lineage: Bacteria
Description: partial 16S ribosomal RNA
Rfam family: Bacterial small subunit ribosomal RNA
Source: RNAcentral
UACGUAGGUGGCAAGCGUUGUCCGGAUUUACUGGGUGUAAAGGGCGUGUAGGCGGAAUAGUAGGUCAGAUGUGAAAUACCGCAGCUUAACUGCGGGGCUGCAUUUGAAACCAUUGUUCUUGAGUGCUGGAGAGGAAAGCGGAAUUCCUAGUGUAGCGGUGAAAUGCGUAGAUAUUAGGAGGAACACCAGUGGCGAAGGCGGCUUUCUGGACAGUAACUGACGCUGAGGCGCGAAAGCGUGGGGAGCAAAC